This 425-nucleotide ribosomal RNA is filed under the name uncultured cyanobacterium. RNAcentral describes it as "bacterial SSU rRNA". It matches the Rfam family "Bacterial small subunit ribosomal RNA", at positions 357 to 796 of the family's 1533-position model. Lineage: Bacteria; Bacillati; Cyanobacteriota. The record is from RNAcentral.
GGGAAUUUUCCGCAAUGGGCGAAAGCCUGACGGAGCAAUACCGCGUGAGGGAUGACGGCCUAUGGGUUGUAAACCUCUUUUUUCAGGGAGGAAUAAAUGACGUGUACCUGAAGAAUAAGCAUCGGCUAACUCCGUGCCAGCAGCCGCGGUAAGACGGAGGAUGCAAGUGUUAUCCGGAAUCACUGGGCGUAAAGCGUCUGUAGGUGGUUUGAUAAGUCAACUGUUAAAUCUCGAGGCUCAACCUCAAAAUGGCAGUCGAAGCUAUUAGACUAGAGUAUAGUAGGGGUAAAGGGAAUUUCCAGUGGAGCGGUGAAAUGCGUAGAGAUUGGAAAGAACACCGAUGGCGAAGGCACUUUACUGGGCUAUUACUAACACUCAGAGACGAAAGCUAGGGUAGCAAAUGGGAUUAGAUACCCCAGUAGUCA